CGAGUAGAUAUGGUUGCCAUUGUUCAAUAGAGCCAUUGGACUUGUCUCAACGAUGUUCCUAUCUGCCAUGAUAUUGCAGGAUAUCUAGGUUGACUCAUUAUCCCUGGCUUUGUAAAGACUACAGCAUAAUGGGAGCCCUACUUCCUUGUUCCCACCCUCAAAGACAGGCUUUUCAAAACGGGGAAGGUACUGCUUUACAGGUUCACAGGAGCUAUGCUACUAUGCACUGUAUAUCCGAGAUUGCUAAAUUAUUCACUACAAUGGCUGCUUCUGAUGAUUCCGCUUUCCAAGAAGAGCUGGAAGCCAAAUUUUGGGGGGAUGUUAAUUUACAUAGGAACAUACAGCCCUGUUUAUUUGAGUCAGAAUGCACUGAAGAGGAGUUGAAACAGCAAUAAAAAUAAUAGUGAAACCAGCAAGCUGCGGCGGCAGCCUAGACCAGGUGGACCAGGUCAAAGGAAGGCAAAUGACAAACAAACAAUACCGCUUGGAUGCAACGAAGUUAAUGACUCUCAAGAGGAGAUGUGAAAGGAGCCAUAAAAAUGUCCUGUAACACUUCAUUUUAAAGGGUCCUUAUUACAGUGUAAUUACACAUCUAAUUACACUAACAAAUAUUAUAGUUAACUGUAACAACUCCUAGUUACAGUGUAAUAACAACAUGCAACUGGUAGUAAUUGCGGUAUCUACAGUGCAUUCGGGAAAAGUAUUCCGACGCCUUGACUUUUCCACAUUUCCUUACGUUACAGCCUUAUUCUAAAAUGGGUUAAAUCGUUUUUUUUCCUCAUCAAUCUACACACAUCAUUUUAAAUUUUUUUGCAAAUGUUUUUUUUUUUUUAACAACUGAAAUAUCAUAUUUACAUGAAUAUUCAGACCCUUUACACAGUACUUUGUUGAAGCACCUUUGGCAGCGAUUACAGACUCAAGUCUUCUUGGGUAUGACAUUACAAGCUUAGUACACCUGUAUUUGGGGAGUUUCUUCCAUUCUUCUCUGCAGAUCCUGUCAAGCUUUGUCAGGUUGGAUGGGGAACAUCACUGCAAAGUUUUUUUUUAGGUCUCUCCGGAGAUAUUUGAUCCUGUUCAAGUCCGGGCUCUGGCUGGGCCACUCAAGGACAUUCAGAGACUUGUCCCGAAGCCACUCCUGCAUUGUCUUGGCUGUGUGCUUAGGGUCAUUGAACUGUUGGAAGGUGAACCUUCACAUAGGGCUGAGGUCCUGAGUGCUCUGGAGGAGGUUUUCAUCAAGGAUCUCUCUGUACUUUGUUCCGUUCAUCUUUCCCUCAUCCUGACUAGUCUCCCAGUCCCUGCUGCUGAAAAACAUCACCACAGCAUGACUCUUGACAUUAUGCAGAAGAGACGCUUGGCAUUCAGGACAGUCUUGGUUUCAUCAGACCAGAGAAUCUUAUUUGUCAUGGUCUGAAAGUCCUUUAGGUGCCUUUUGGCAAACUCCAAGCAGGAUGACAGGUGCCUUUUACUGAGGAGGGGCUUCCGUCUGGCCACUCUGCCUGAUUGGUGGAGUGCUGCAGCAAUGGUUGUCCUUCUGGAAAGUUUCCCAUCUCCACAGAUGAACUCCGGAGCUCUGUCAGUGUGACCAAUGCGGGUUCUUGGUAGAGGUCGACCGAUUAUGAUUUUUCAACGCCGAUACCGAUUAUUGGAGGACCAAAAAUGCCGAUGCCGAUUAAUCGGCUGAUUGUUUAUUUAUUUAUUUGUAAUCAUGACAAUUACAACAAUACCAAAGGAACACUUAUUUUAAGUUAAUAUAAUACAUCAAUAAAAUCAAUUUAGCCUCAAAUAUAUAAUGAAACAUGUUCAAUUUGGUUUAAAUAAUGCAAAAACAAAAUGUUGGAGAAGAAAGUAAAAGUGCAAUAUGUGCCAUGUAAGAAAGCUAACGUUUAAGUUCCUUGCUCAGAACAUGAGAACAUAUGAAAGCUGGAGGUUCCUGUUAACAUAAGUCUUCAAUAUUCCCAUGGAAGAAGUUUUAGGUUGUAGUUAUUAUAGGAAUUAUAGGACUAUUUCACUCUAUAUAAUUUGUAUUUCAUAUACCUUUGACUAUUGGAUGUUCUUAUAGGCACUUUAGUCUUGCCAGUGUAACAGUAUAGCUUCCGUCCCUCUCCUCGCUGCUACCUGGGCUCGAACCAGGAACACAUCGUCAACAGCCACCCUCGAAGCAGCGUUACCCAUGCAGAGCAAGUGACGUUUGAAGUUUGAAACGCGAUUAGCGCACACCCCGCUAACUAACUAGCCAUUUCACAUGGGUUACACCAGCCUAAUCUCGGGAGUUGAUAGGCUUGAAGUCAUAAACAGCGCAAUGCUUGAAGCAUUGCGAAGAGCUGCUGGCAAAAUGAAAGUGCUGUUUGAAUGAAUGCUUACGAGCCUGCUGGUGCCUACCAUCGCUCAGUCAGACUACUCUAUCAAAUCAUAGACUUAAUUAUAAUAUAAUAACACACAGAAAUACGAGCCUUAGGUCAUUAAUAUGGUCGAAUCCGGAAACUAUCACGUUUAUUCUUUCAGUGAAAUACGGAACCGUUCCGUAUUUUAUCUAAUGGGUGGCAUCCAUAAGUCUAAAUAUUCCUGUUACAUUGCACAACCUUCAAUGUUAUGUCAUAAUUACGUAAAAUUCUGGCAAAUUAGUUCGCGACGAGCCAGGUGGCCCAAACUGUUGCAUAUACCCUGACUCAGCGUGCAAUGAUUGCAAGAGAAGUGACACAAUUUCACCUGGUUAAUAUUGCCUGCUGACCUGGAUUUCUUUUAGCUAAAUAUGCAGAUUUAAAAAUAUAUACUUCUGUGUAUUGAUUUUAAGAAAGGCAUUGAUGUUUAUGGUUAGGUACAUUCGUGCAACGAGUGUGCUUUUUUCGCAAAUGCGCUUUUGUUAAAUCAUCCUCCGUUUGGCGAAGUUGGCUGUCUUUGUUAGGAAGAAAUAGUCUUCACAGUUCGCAAUGAGCCAGGCGGCCCAAACUGCUGCAUAUACCCUGACUCUGUUGAAAGAGAAGUGACACAUUUUCCCUAGUUAAAAUAAAUUCAUGUUAGCAGGCAAUAUUAACUAAAUAUGCAGGUUUAAAAAUUUUUACUUGUGUAUUGAUUUUAAGAAAGGCAUUGAUGUUUAUGGUUAGGUACACGUUGGAGCAACGUGUACCUAAGCGAUUAUAUGCAACGCAGGACAGGCUAGAUAAACUAGUAAUAUCAUCAACCAUGUGUAGUUAACUUGAUUGAUUGAUUGUUAUGAUUGAUUGAUUGUUUUUUCUAAGAUAAGUUUAAUGCUAGCUAGCAACUUACCUUGGCUUCUUACUGCAUUCGCGUAACAGGCAGGCUCCUCAUUGAGUGCAAUGUAAAGCAGGUGGUUAGAGCGUUGGACUAGUUAACCGUAAGGCUGCAAGAUUGAAUCCCCGAGCUGACAAGUUAAAAAUCUGUCGUUCUGCCCCUGAACAAGGCAGUUAACCCACCGUUCCUAGGCCGUCAUUGAAAAUAAGAAUGUGUUCUUAAUUGACUUGCCUAGUUAAAUAAAGGUGUAAAAAAUAAAUCGGCCAAAUCGGCCUCCAAAAAUACCGAUUUCCGAUUGUUAUGAAAACUUGAAAUCGGCCCUAAUUAAUCGGCCAUUCCGAUUAAUCGGUCGACCUCUAGUUCUUGGUCACCUCCCUCACCAAUGCCCUUCUCCCCUGAUUGCUCAGUAUGGCCAGCUCCAGGAAGAGUCUUGGUGGUUCCAAACAUCUUCCAUUUAAAAUGGAGGCCACUGUGUUCUUGGUUGACCUUCAAUGCUGCAGACAUUUUUUGGUACCCUUCCCCAGAUCUGUGCCUCGACACAAUUCUGUCUCGGAGCUCUGUGGACAAUUCCUUCGACCUCACUGCUUGGUUUUUGCUUUUACAUGCACUGUGAACUGUGGGACCUUAUAUAAACAGGUGUGUGCCUUUCAAAAUCAUGUCCAAUGAAUUGAAUUAACCACAGCUAGAUUCCAAUGAAGUUGUAGCAACAUCUCAAGGAUGAUCAAUGGAAACAGAAUGCACCGGAGCUCAAAUUCGAUUCUCAUAGCACAGGGUCUGAGUACUUAUGUAAAUAAGGUAUUUUUGUUUGUAAUACAUUUAAAAAAAUUCUAACAAGCUGUUUUCACAUUGCCAUUAUGGAGUAUUGUGUGUAGAUUGACGAGGGACAUUUUUUAUUUCAUCAAUUUUAGAAUGAGGCUGUAACAUAACAAAAUGUGGAAAAAGUCAAGGGGUCUGAAUACUUUCCGAAGGCACUGUAAUUACAGCAGUGUAACAAAUUAUUAUUGUUACCAUGGUUGUUACACAUGGGCAGGUUUCCACUAAAUUCACUAACUUAGUGUUUCGCUUCUUCUCAGCUGCAUACAGUAACAAAUGUCACAAAGGUUGUGAUCCCUCAUGGAUGUGAUGGGUGUCUUAGAGAUUAUAGCCUAUACUCAAUAGGCUCUAAUUACUUACCCUUGAAUGUGCACUCAGUGUUGUUGCUAGCACUUGCCCUCAAAAUAAAGUAUACCAUCAGGGGUAACUUGGUUAAGCUGGUAAAAACAGAUCAGUAGGUCAGCCUCACUGACUGGGAUCUAAUAUAGGUGUCAACCCAGAUGUGGAAAAAUACAUUAUUUCAAAGCGUAGUACAUGUAAUAUUUGCCUAAGUACAAUGUAAUCACUAGCUGUUACACUGGAUUUAGCUUGUUAAAAUGAAGUGUCUCAUGAGGGGUAGUUACCUGUAAUUAAUGUGUAUUUAUACAGUACAUUACCCAUCCUAACAACCUGGAACUCAGAAUUAAAGCUUCUAGAAGCACUAUAUAAGUGGGAGACUAAACAAAUUUGUACACCACAGAGUACAUGUAAUAUCUGCGUAAGUACAAUGUAAUUACUAGGUGUUACACAGGAUUUAGCUAGUUAAAAUUAAGUAUAUCUUGACGAAUACUUACUUGUAAUUAGUGUGUAUUUAUACUGUACAUUACCCAUCCUGACAUCCUGGCCCUCAUUUUAAAGCUUCUGGAAGUUUCACUUAAUUUCUGUACGCUAUUGUAAAAGACAGAUAUAGCAACAACCAUAAAAAAGUCAGCAAGAGGAAGAUAAUCUCUUAGGAACAGCUUUAUUACAUGAUAACAUUGCCAUAGUUUUCCUGAGAGGACAUUUGUAAUGUAAAAACAUUUGAAUAGUUUACUUAAACAUUGUUAUCCGAGGUAUCAUUUCACAAUUUAACAUUUUUGUAAAAAUAUUUUUUUUACUAAUCUACGAAGGCACAAGUGUCUGCAAACUGCCAUAAAUGUAUCAACUGAAAAAGAACAACGAAACAUGUGGUGCAGACAUUCUUCUUUAAGAAUGGUUAUCUGAGGUAGCAUUUCACAAAAAAAUAAAACGACGGAAGCAAAUAUUUUUCAAUGAUCUACUAAGGCACAAGUCUCACAGCAAACUGCCAUAAAAGUAUAAACUGAAAAAGAAAAACACUUCUUUAAGAAUUAAAACAGAUUUUUCAGAGAGUUUUUCAAUAUAUUAGGCUUCAUGAUGUAGGAGAUGCAAAAAACAUUCAAACUGGAAAAUUUCAAAACACCAUGUUGGCCUAAUUAACAGAACAUGGUUAAUCUACCAAAUCUUUGGUGUUAUAGACCAAAGCUUUCCCCUUGCCUUCUUCUUUUAUUUUAAUUUAAUAGCUCUGGACUGAGGGACCCAAACCAUAUUUUGCGAUACUCCAGAAGUUUCUCUUUCUUAAUGUUGUAAUUUGUAAAGUUAACAAUAUUUUUUUUUAAAUCUAAUUUUUUUAAGCUUUUUUUAUUUUCUAUGGCAAAUGAAAAUACUGUGAUCACAAAAUACAAUGACAGAUCAAUAACAGAACAAAAGUGAAAUUAUCUCCAGAUCUACUUCUCCACACCUCCAACGGUAUUUGAAGAUGGGCCCAAUAUGUGCUUUUCUCCCUCCAAAAAAUUCAGUCACACUUUAUAUCUCUUCUUAAUGUUGUUGAUCAGUUGUCCGAAGAUGCCUCCCCUGUGUUUUUUGCCCAACCAGUAAGUCCAUUCAAUACAUUUCAAAUGGUUCUUCAACAUUUUCUCUGAUUGAUUCCCUUUUAGUCUCCAGACCUGUUUUUUGAUCAUCUGCAAAGAGCGUUCAAUGUGCUGUGUGUGGCUGCUCGAAUGUGGAUCAACAAAGUUCUGCCUGUGGUUCACAGUGUGAUGCUGAUAACCUAGUGGAUUCAGCGCCUGCACAUAUGCUCUCCACGAGUCACUGUAGAUGGUUGAUCCUCUUUUGAUGUUGUUUUCUAAUGAUCGGGAUCAGUACUCUGCGUGAGCUUGAAGGUACCAUUUUCAAAUCGGGUCAUCUAUUACCUCUGUUGACCUCCAACAUCCCAAAGACCCAGUUGUACUGUGAAAUAAAAAUUGAAUAAAAGACAUGACACAAAACGCAAUACAAAGCAGACAGAUCUGUGAAGUGUUCAAGUACUUUACAGUUUGGUAAACCACAUAUACAGUACUGUAUUAGUGUCUAUUCUUGUAUCUACUCCAUUGUUAAAAAAAUAUAUGUAUUUACAUGGAAAAGAAAGAUUAACACAUCAAGAAGACUGCAAUAUCAACAUCAUCCUAUUGAAUAAAGUACCUUUCUUUUAUGGCUGAAUUUGGACUCAACGAUAACCAAAAAUGUCGCAGAAAUCAAUCGAAUUUAAUCGAUUUCUGUGAUGUCCGCCAAAUUUGAAGGCGUUCCAUUUCUUCAAUCUUCUCAAAGCCUUUGUACACAUACACACCUUUAAAACACAUGAACGUUUGAGUUAUACGUGUAUGUCAUUGUUUAAGUGAACACACACAAACACUAUCAUCCAGUGGAGGCUGCUGAGGAGGAGACAGCUCAUAAUAAUGGCUGGAAUGGAGUCAAUGGAAUGGUAUCAAACACAUGUGGUUGAUACCAUUCCAUUGACUCCAUUCCAGCCAUUAUUGUGAGCCGUCCUCCCCUCAGCAGCCUACCAUAAUAUGUAUACAGGUGUGUAGCCCGGAUGACGCAACCUAUGUGGUAUACAGUGAGGGAGUGCUAUGACCCACUGGUCUGGACAGGAGUCUUUGUUGGUGCAAAUCCAACAGUUGUAAUGGAAGGGGGCAGCGCUCGGGACUGUGUGUGGCUGUACAUGUGGGUGUUUGAUUGAGAAAGACACAGAGGAGAACAAAGCAGUAAAAGCACAACUCCCUUCAUUAUCGCCGCAUCGUUCUGACAACAUCAAACAGUCUCUCCAGAUUCUGAAGUCAGGUGGACUUUGAGUUUGGUAUCAGCCAGACUAACAGGUGUGAGCUUGUGUUAGCUGAAUGUGCACAAGGGUUAACUUAUUGUUUGUUCUUACUGAUUACACAUACAGACUUGCGUUUUGACAACGGAGGGAUCAAUAAUUUAGUGCAAGGUCAUGGAGAUACUGUACAUUUCCACCGGAAGAGAACGGCAAAAUGCGUGCACGCAUAAUUACACUUCUUUGAACCGGAGACCGGUGUUUUUGCUAAUAUUUGGAAUGACUCGGGUUAUAAGCUUAAAAAGUGAUCUGGAUCUAGGCUAAUUUAUUUCUUACCUUUCUGAGCUUCUUUAUUUGUGAACUACCAGCCAAUCCAUCCUGCUUCAUGUCAAUUUGAGUCAUAGGCCUUGGGAGAAGCUGGUAAUGAAAUGUAAACCAAUAGGAAUGUUUCUAUAGAACUAUAGACAGAAAUAUGCAUGCAUUCAGGUUUACUGCUUGAGAUGACUUCAUAUACUGUAGCUUAGUGAAGGCCCUAUGCCUUAGUUUUAAAAUGUCUCAAAGAUCAUUGACAUGCCUAACAAAACAAACGUAGUUCCAGCACAGCUGCAACACUAACAUGCUAAUGUUGGCACACAAAAUUGCAGAAUACCCCUCUCAUGUAAUACAGUUCGUGCUCAUGCGUCUACAACGUGCUUAGAGACUUCCCCAUUGUUAAUUGGUCAGGUUAAAAAGAAGUGUGCAUCACUCAACAGGCCUAGUGAGUAAGCAUAAAAGAGGACAGUGGGGGUAUGGAGGCGUAUAGAUUGGCACUUUGCCAGUCACUCAUUCGGGAUACUAUAUAAUGCAAUCGGGUGCAUAGUCCCUCUAUUUUGCACACUGAAUGAUGAACAGUGGGUAGCUAUAGUAAUUGCACAAUUAUCAAUAUAUUGAAUAGGGUCAGGGUGUGCAAUUUACAUGAAUUUAGUGGGUUCUCAUUAUCUAAAAUGGGCUGACUUACCGGAAGAUGAAUCCCAUCCGUUCAUUUAGUCCAUUAUGUGAACUGACUUAACAUUGAUCCUUUCCGUAUUGAGCAUUUUGUUUUCCAGGGAUGGUUACACAUCCUAUAUGAAGUAAUUACAGUAGUAUAAUGUUAUUAUAGUCACAUACAUUAACUUCUGCAGGCCCUCAUAAACCGGGUCAGCAACAAAAGUAUAAACAAUGGAGCAUUAUAUUUUCCUACGCAAAUAGCACUUAUCUAUCAUUAUGUAAUAGUGCAGAGUUACAAUACUGUAGUGAACGGAGAGACAGGAACGGGAACCCUGGUCGUUGGGGUGAAACGCAAACACCCUAUGCGUUGCGCAAACACCUCACAAGUACUCAACUGCAGCUUCAUUAAAUAGUACCUGCAAAACACCAGUCUCAACGUCAACAGUGACGUUGAGACUGGUAAGCUAAAUUAUCUUUUGUUUUAGGCAGGUUGGUUGUUUCGCAACAAAACCGACGCGUUGUGACAGCAUUGAAUUUGUCUGAACCGUCUCAGUGUUUCUCCUGCCGAUGGGGCGCUUCCCCUUUAAUUCCCUAUUAAAUAGCCAGCAUCAGCUGCGCAGAAGUGGGUUGUGACAGUGUCGCGAGAGAGUAAUUGUUCAAACCUCAGCUUGAAAGCUCGUUGAUACCCAGUUUGUUUUGGUGUAUUUAAAAGUGUGUACUGUAGCCGUGUCGCAGGAUCAACCAGUAUCGGAUCUACUUAUGUAUAUUGUUGGCAGGGGCGCCAUAUGGGGGGGAAAAGUUAGGACGAUUCUAACGGCCUAAUAAGAAAUUAUUAGAACAUUAGGACAAAAAGUAAACAUGCAGAGAGCCUCUGUAUUGCCCAACCCCCCCUAGCAGUGAAUUGCGAGUGAGAAGUGCCGGAGCAUCAUGUCGCAGCUUCCUAAAGAAAAAUCUGGCUUCCAAAAACUAAAAGAAAGAAAAGAAGGACAGGAGAGAGAAAAGAAAGGGCGACUGUAUGUCACCCAAUUUUUCACAAAGGAAGAUCUUUUUGCCGCUGAAACUCUAGCACGUUCAAAAGCGAAUACUGGAACAAUAUUUUGAAUGUCGAAUGUGGAGAAUGCUCAGAGGCGAUCUAAAGAACACUAAUGUCAUUACGUUUGUUGUUUUGUGAUAUCAUUAAAAAUGUUAUAAAGGAAAUACUGUAGCUUGGAAAGUAUACCCACUACAUGUGUGAAGUGUCCAUCCUAUGUGAAUCCAAAGCACAUUCAAUAAAGGAAGGUGAUAGAUAUAAUCAAAUGUUUUAUUUACAUGCAUUUAUUUCACCUCAUACUUUCUUCUGACCCUCCUGGGAUUUAAAAUAUUGCCUUCUGUUUAGUUUACUGUACAUAGUAGAGUGUAAGGAAAAGGUAAAAUACAAAAGAGAGUUUACAGUAUGUGCAGGUAAGGUAAAAAUAGGGACACUACUGUGAAACCAUAUGGCAUAAUUCUGUUGGGGUAAGUGUCCUCCGGGGGGAGGGAGGACUUACUCCGGUAGCUGGACAAAAUACCCCUUUCCUAAAAUAUAAAUUGUAUUAAAUAACUACAAAUCUGCCAACUGAAGCUAUCAUCCACCUUCAUUUUUUUCUGAAAUCUGCUUUUUUGUGUCAGCAAAUAGACAUUGAUCUUAGAGUGUGUGUUUACCCCAAUGUUUUAUUUGUUUUGUGAAAUGCUAUCUCAGAUUCUUAAGGAAGAACUUCUGCACCACGUGAUUUGUUUUUCUCUUUUAGUUGAUGCUUUUAUGGCCGUUUGCAGAGAGAUUUGUGCCAUAGUAGAUGUGUGAAAAAUAUAUGUUGUUACCUCAGAUAACCAUAUUUAAUAAGCAAACUAUCAAAAUGUUUUCGCACUAAUGUAAAGGAAGAAUUUGGCAAUGUUAUCAUGUAAUAAAGAUGUCCCUAACCUGA
Molecule: long non-coding RNA, 10077 nt
Filed under: Salmo salar (Atlantic salmon)
Lineage: Eukaryota; Metazoa; Chordata; Actinopteri; Salmoniformes; Salmonidae
Description: lncRNA (ENSSSAG00000104840.1)
Source: RNAcentral